AAACCAGCACCUCAAGUGGUCAGGAUGAUUAUUGGGCCUAAAGCAUCCGUAGCCGGCUCUGUAAGUUUUCGGUUAAAUCUGUACGCUUAACGUACAGGCUGCCGGGAAUACUGCAGAGCUAGGGAGUGGGAGAGGUAGACGGUACUCGGGAGGAAGUGGUAAAAUGCUUUGAUCUCUCGAUGACCACCUGUGGCGAAGGCGGUCUACCAGAACACGUCCGACGGUGAGGGAUGAAAGCUGGGGGAGCAAACCGGAUUAGAAACCCGGGUAGUCC
RNAcentral lists this ribosomal RNA (274 nucleotides) under uncultured bacterium. RNAcentral describes it as "partial 16S ribosomal RNA". It matches the Rfam family "Archaeal small subunit ribosomal RNA", at positions 473 to 747 of the family's 1478-position model. The record is from RNAcentral.